This 253-nucleotide ribosomal RNA is filed under the name uncultured bacterium. RNAcentral describes it as "partial 16S ribosomal RNA". It matches the Rfam family "Bacterial small subunit ribosomal RNA", at positions 524 to 776 of the family's 1533-position model. The record is from RNAcentral.
GACGUAGGGUGCGAGCGUUGUCCGGAUUUAUUGGGCGUAAAGAGCUCGUAGGCGGCUCGUCGCGUCGACCGUGAAAACCCGCAGCUUAACUGCGGGCUUGCGGUUGAUACGGGCGGGCUAGAGUUCGGUAGGGGAGACUGGAAUUCCUGGUGUAGCGGUGAAAUGCGCAGAUAUCAGGAGGAACACCGGUGGCGAAGGCGGGUCUCUGGGCCGAUACUGACGCUGAGAAGCGAAAGCAUGGGGAGCGAACAGG